Molecule: long non-coding RNA, 718 nt
Organism: Coffea eugenioides
Lineage: Eukaryota; Viridiplantae; Streptophyta; Magnoliopsida; Gentianales; Rubiaceae
Exons: 3
Source: RefSeq, a predicted model, not a curated record
ACCCUCAUUCGAAAGUUAAUUCUCCCGUACCCUCAUUCGACCUCUUUGUUCAGCCACCAUGGCCGCCAGCGCUGCUAGAACUGUGUUCCGUUCUGCCACCACAUCCGCCCGGACUGCGGCGGCGAAAGUUUUUACCGGGGCCAAGCCAAAGCCCAGUCGCUCAACCUUCCGCAUCCCCGCUCAAAAACCCCUCUCGACUCGCAUAUUCAGGUCCCCAGUUGAAAUGAGCUGUAUAAGCGUGGGAUCGAUGUUUCCUUAUCACAGUGCAACCGCUUCGGCAUUGCUAACUUCUAUGCUCUCCGAGGUUUCUCCUUGGACUUAUAAUUGGUCCCAAGAUUCUUGAUAGGUUAUUGAGGCACCAAAUAGGCAGCCACUUGGACUCAGAAACUUCACCAUGGGACUUUGAGCUGUGGAGAACUCUCGGGUAAUACCUGCAGCAACGGCAGAAUUAUUGUCUACACAAGCGCCCACACCUAGUUUCUCAUCAUUUUUAUCUUCCAGGCUUCACGCUGAUGUACUUGUUAACCAAAUUCCACAUUUGUAGUAGUGAAUAUUUUCUUUCCAGUUUCUGAUCUUACGUUCGCAUGCUUCUGUAAUCAAAACAUCAACAUUACAUAUUCAUACUACCUUAGCCAGCUCUAGUGUUGAAGAGUUUGCAUUUUACCGCAAUGAAGUUGCUUGGAGCUGAGCUCUCUCGCAAUUUGGUUUUGUCUUAGUA